AGGGUUAAACCCUUCCGCCUACGUAAGCGUUAUUACGCCC
The sequence is a regulatory RNA element, 40 nucleotides long. It matches the Rfam family "Pseudoknot of tRNA-like structure". The record is from Rfam.